RNAcentral lists this ribosomal RNA (407 nucleotides) under uncultured Cellulosimicrobium sp. RNAcentral describes it as "bacterial SSU rRNA". It matches the Rfam family "Bacterial small subunit ribosomal RNA", at positions 355 to 774 of the family's 1533-position model. The record is from RNAcentral. Lineage: Bacteria; Bacillati; Actinomycetota; Actinomycetes; Micrococcales; Promicromonosporaceae.
UGGGGAAUAUUGCACAAUGGGCGAAAGCCUGAUGCAGCGACGCCGCGUGAGGGAUGAAGGCCUUCGGGUUGUAAACCUCUUUCAGCAGGGAAGAAGCGCAAGUGACGGUACCUGCAGAAGAAGCGCCGGCUAACUACGUGCCAGCAGCCGCGGUAAUACGUAGGGCGCAAGCGUUGUCCGGAAUUAUUGGGCGUAAAGAGCUCGUAGGCGGUUUGUCGCGUCUGGUGUGAAAACUCGAGGCUCAACCUCGAGCUUGCAUCGGGUACGGGCAGACUAGAGUGCGGUAGGGGAGACUGGAAUUCCUGGUGUAGCGGUGGAAUGCGCAGAUAUCAGGAGGAACACCGAUGGCGAAGGCAGGUCUCUGGGCCGCAACUGACGCUGAGGAGGGAAAGCAUGGGGAGCGAACA